This 255-nucleotide ribosomal RNA is filed under the name uncultured bacterium. Its description in RNAcentral is "partial 16S ribosomal RNA". It matches the Rfam family "Bacterial small subunit ribosomal RNA", at positions 333 to 605 of the family's 1533-position model. The record is from RNAcentral.
GCCAUCCUACGGGACGCAGCAGUGGGGAAUAUUGCACAAUGGGGGAAACCCUGAUGCAGCGACGCCGCGUGAGCGAAGAAGUAUUUCGGUAUGUAAAGCUCUAUCAGCAGGGAAGAAAAUGGCGGUACCUGACUAAGAAGCUCCGGCUAAAUACGUGCCAGCAGCCGCGGUAAUACGUAUGGAGCAAGCGUUAUCCGGAUUUACUGGGUGUAAAGGGAGCGCAGGCGGCUUUGCAAGUCUGAUGUGAAAGGCCGG